RNAcentral lists this long non-coding RNA (8905 nucleotides) under Glycine max (soybean). Its description in RNAcentral is "long non-coding RNA (GMAX_LNC000319)". Lineage: Eukaryota; Viridiplantae; Streptophyta; Magnoliopsida; Fabales; Fabaceae. The record is from RNAcentral.
AUAUACCGAGGUACGACUUGAUCGAGGUACGAGGUGAUGAAGAUACAUUUCCUUCAUAUUUUUGUAUGCUUUGUUGUGCUGAUGAUUUUGCUGGUGAGAAUUGCAAUUGUGAUGUCAUGCUAUCUUGAAACAUAAGCUGACAAUUAAAAAGAUAUUGAUUAGUAUGAAUAAUAGGGAAGUUAGGCCUUAAUUAUGAUGCUAUUUUGAUAAAGAGCUCAUAAAAUCUCCGAACCUUGUUCAUAUAUUCGUCCGAACUGUGAGUGUUCUAGUGAAAAUGAAGAAAUCCCCUACUAAAGGAUAUCGAUAAGCAAUUCACAAAGUAAACAAGGCUGAUAGUGUAUGUUGUUUCUUAAAUAUGUAGUGUAUAUUUUAUAUUUUGUAGUUGCUUUUUGAAGGAUAAUUCAUUGUUCACCUAUGUAGUGUGUAUCUGGAUUCAAUUCAUGGUUGUGUGUCUUCCAAUUUACAUGCAUCCAGAUAUAUUAAUAUUAUAGGAGCCGUACACCCGAGUGGGUGUUGACCUUGGUCAAUACUUUGCUACAUGAGUUGGUUAUGCCUUUUUUUGGACUCAGGUGUUCUAUACUACAAAUUGAACCUUAACUCUAGUUUAGAACAGUUUCAAUUUCAAUAAUGAUGGAAAGGGGGGAAAAGAUAUUUGAGUUUGGGGUUUUAUGCACCACACCUUUCAUCCUCUUUCUUUUACACAACUUUGUUUUUAGUUUUUACUAAUAGGAAGAAAAGGAAAAAAGAUAAUAAAAGGUAAAUCAACUAAAUAUUUAGUGGGAUUAUUCAAAAAAAAAUUAUGAGAUCGACUCUAUCAAAUAAAUGAUGAAAUUUAAUAGUAUUUCAAUGGCAAGACAAUUGAGAUAUAUAAGUCUAAGUUAGAAAAUUAAAUUAAAAUAAAUAAAUUAUCAAAUUAAAACUUAAAAUCAUUAACUUUUCUCUUGGCAAUUAAACUAUGAAGUUCUUGGAUGAAGUGUUCUCGCGUUUUCUUGGCCAAUUGUCAAGCUCCUCAUUACUACUAACUUUUCUUGAAAGCAUCUUCUCUUUGGUGUAAACCUCCAGCUCUUGCUCCAAUUUUGAUUCUUUGAGUUCUCUUUGAGCUAUUUUUGUUUCCAUCAGUAUUUCCUUCUCGCUGGCCUUGAGAGCUUCAAUCCAUGCCUCAGCUGCUGCUACUUUUUAUCAGCAAUUUCUUCUACUGAGGCUGCAUGAUUUGUUAGAUACUCAUACUCAAAUUUUGAGAUAGUGAUCAUGGAACUAUGCUGUGUUGUUAAAGCUCUUUCUCUCAUGGUACUCUCAGUAAGAGUUUUCAGCUUCCCUAAGGCUACAGCUUCAGAUGCUUUGGCUACCACAAACAGUCAAAAGAUCUGCUGCUUGGCAACAAACACUGGCAGCAAGUGCUGGUAACAUGUCUUUGUCACCAAGGUUUGCUAAAGUAUUACAACAUGAACUUUCAGAAUCCAACCACCUUGUGACGUGUUUGAAGAGUCUAGUUGUUCGAAUUUGUUCCACUAUGUCAGCCUGAAAUUUGAAAGCUCUUAAACAUUAUGAUUAAUCAUUUAUUGUAUUUUCUUCAAUGAGAUGAGGUCCCUAAUUUUGCAAAUAACACACAUUAAAAGAAAAAAUGUAGUGUCAAAACCUGGAUUGGUGAAACAUCAACCAUUUCCAUUUAAUUAGGAGAGCAUUGUUGAGGACCUUAAUGUCUUUGAUCCCCAAACCUCCCAAAUCUCUAGAGGCAGACACCUGUCUCCAAGCUACCAAAGCUAUCUUCUUCCCUUCAAAGCUACCACCCCAAAGAAAUUUCCUUUAAAUGGCAGUUAGCCUAUUAAUCAGUGUUGUAGGGGCCCUGAAAAAAAGACAAAUUGAACACAGGCAAUGCUGUUAGGACAACAUUGAUUAGAGUAAUUCUGCCAGCCAUCGAAAUGCUUCUCUAGUUCGAUUUAUUCAACCUAGCCUCUAAUUUUCUGAUUAUAGAUUCCCACACCACCUUUCUUCUUGGAUUAACUCCAAUUGGCAGCCCUAGGUAGCAGAAAGGAAAAUGAAGCAGGGCAUAGUUUAAGUAAUUUUGUCAGUUUGUAGCGAUUAGAGUAAUUCUGUCGGUUUGUAAUGGUGUUAGUAUAUGUCAGGUAAUAUACCAGAGAUAUAUAAGUGCCUUCAUUUCUGGUAUAACCACAAACAGAUCAUAAAAAAUGAAAACCUAUGUAGUAAAUAUAUAUGUUUAUAGUUGAAAUGGCUUAGGUAUUCUGUAAUGUCCAUGAUAGGGACUAUGUGCAUAAAGGAAGAAAUAACAUAAAAAGAUAAAUUCGGCUACAAUGCUUAGUGAUAAAGUAGAAGGAUAGGAAUUGGAAAUGAACUUAGCAUAGUUGGCAGUAGAAACUUCAAUUUGUGAUUAACUCGAUGGUGGAGUUUUGAGGCAUAAGUUAGAACAAUUACACAUAAUAUGCUGAACAAUAUUAAGCUAUUUAAAUUUAAUAAAUAAUAGUUUUAAAGAGGAAACAAUCAUUAGUAUGUGCAAAUAGGUGGAGAUGGUGGUGGUUGGCGAUGACCUGGACAAUAUGGCAACAGAGGAAUAAGUUAGUUCUAGUGUUCCUUUUGACAGCAACAAAGUCAUGGAUGACGCAGCUUUCUUAAUCUGGACUUGGCUGAGAAAUUUAGAGAAGGAUUUCUCCAUUCAUUUUAAUCAGUGGUCUAGCAAUCUUAGACCUCGGGAAUCUCUGUUUGAGUGAUUUGAAUUUUCUUUGCGCUCUCUGUCUGUCCUUGUCCCAAACAACCCCUUCAACCACCUGAUGGCUCUACCCAUUGGGUACAUGAGGGAAAUGCAAAUGCUACUACUACUUGGGUCUUUGAAUAAUAUUAGUGCAAGUGGGAACAUUGAAGAAGUGAAGCCUACCGAAGAAAAACCCAGUCACAUACACAGUUUUUCAAGACACAAGAAAAACGCCUAGUGGAAAUAUGCAUUACAUGACAAAAAAACAUGCAUCUGGAGGAGGCAUGGUGAGCAAAAUAAAAACAACAUUAUAAUAAUGGAAUAUAAAAAUUAAAAGAGAGCUACAUUAUGGUGUUGGGAUUCACAUUGCAAACUAAUUAAUUAACAAAAGUAAAAGGAUGGAGUACCUUGGUAGAAUCAAAUUCAAAAGUCGAUGAGAAGAGAAGAGCCCCAUAGUGAAAUCUGUAUCUUCAUCUGUCCUCUAGAGCGACGUAUCCUCAAAAAGAAAGAUACCUCAGUGUCCCAAAACAUCCGAGACACUCGUGUCUCGUGAAGGCAUUCCCUAACUUCCUCUGCGUUAUGCAACUGUUUUACCCUCCUUUGUUGAAUUCUUAGUUUAACUCCUAGCCAAUGAAUGAAACCAGUGUCAUUCUAUAUUUUUCUCAGCUUUCAAUAGGCCAUGUUCUUCACUCAUAAAAAGAAACCGAAUAAUAAUGCAUGAAGCCCUGUUGAAGCUGAGCCAAUAAAAAGAUAGCUUUUAGUUCAAUUAAUGUUGUUAUUUUCCUCACCCAACAACUACCUAUGUUGUUCUCUGCAACCCUUUGCUUUUUCUUUAUUUCACCCUUUUUUCUCUUUCAUUGUUUCGUUUUACUGUUUCCUCAAUUAUUUGUGUACUAAUUGAAGCUCCCCCUUUUUUUUUUCUGUCGUUUCUCUGCAACUUAGAAAUCAUAGGGUCCUCUCUCUAUUCUCUCUACCAAUAUCAUAUUAGUAAGUAGUGACGUAAUUUUGAUGACAUGACAAAUACUCAUUCGAUCAAAACAUUUCUUAAAGUUUAUCAAUAUGACCAAGUUGGUCAAGUUAGUAGAGUAAAUUGAUGAAAUGACCAACUUGAUUUAACAAAAACAUUUUAUAGAAACAAAUAAAACUUAGAAGAAGACACUAAACCAAAAAGUAUUUAUUUAUUUUAGCAACAAUAAUUUAACUUGAGUUUAAUAAAACAAAAAAACAAUUGGGUAAGUGAUUUCAUGAUUUUAAAUUUGUUAGACUUGAAUAAGAAAUACUAGUCUUAAAAAAAUCAGAAGUCCCAAUUUAAGUAACUAGGUUUAUAGAAUGUUUAGUAGUCACAUUACUGAAUUGUAAUUUUUUUUUAUAAAAAAAGUAGUGUGCAGUUUAUUUAUUUUUUAGUUAUAUAGUCGAGUCUGGAAAACAUGCAUUCUUCAUCAUGGGGAGUCUAAUUAGGUGCUCUUUUAAUGGCAGACACUAACAUUGAAUGAAGUAUGGUUCAUGGGAAAGAAAAAUUCUUGGAAGAUACAUGAUUGCUCUUGCUGGUCGCUCAUACUAAAGUAGUAUCAUUAUUAUACUAAGCAAAGAAAGUAACAGCUUAAGAAAAAUAAUUAAUACGAGCACAACAAUAGCCUUUUAAUUAAAACUAAGCCGUUUGAAGCUAGGUUACAUUAUAUCACCCCCUUUAAUAUCUACCAAAGUACAAAAUUGUGUCAUAACUAACUUGAACGAGGCUUUGGUAUGGGCAUCCCAUCGUCUAAGACAGUACUGUUGAGCCAUACUACUUGGUUGGUAUCCAAGAUGGACCCGGUCAAGUACAUUUUUGAGAAGCCCGCUCUUACGGGGCGGAUCGCUUAGUGGAAGGUUCUGCUAUCUAAGUUUGACAUUGUCUAUGUCGCCUAAAAGGAAAUAAAGGGGAGCACCUUGGCGGAUUAUUUGGCUUAGUAGCCUCUCAACGACUAUCAGCUGAUGCAUCUGGAGUUUCCAGAUGAAGACAUCAUGGCCAUGUUCGGAGAAAAGUUGGAGGAUGAGAACCGGGAUAAGUGGAUCGUGUGGUUCGACUGCGCGUCCAAUGCCCUAAGCCAUGGGGUUGGGGCGGCUUUGGUCUCUCCUGACAAUCAAUACAUUCCUUUCACGGCCAGAUUGGGCUUCGAUUGCACGAACAAAUUGACUUCAACGUCAAUUUGCUCAAAGUAUACAGAGAUUCAGCCUUGGUGAUCCAUCAAUUGAAGGGAGAAUAGGAUACUAGGGAUCACAAGUUGAUACCCUAUCAGGCAUACAUCAAGAAAUUGACCAAGUUCUUCGAUGAUGUCUCAUUCCAUCAUGUUCCCAGAGAAGAAAAUCAGAUGGUUGAUGCGUUAGCCACCCUGGCAUCCAUGUUUCAACUAACCCCACACGGAGACCUCCCAUUCAUCAAGUUCAAAUGUCGUGGCAAGCCCGCGCAUUGCUGCUUAAUAGAGGAGGAGCAAUAUGGUAAGUCGUGGUAUUCCGACAUCAAGUGGUACGUAGAACCAUAAGGAAUACCCACACGGAGCUUCUGACAACGACAAGAGGACUUGCAGAGAUUGGCAGCUGGUUUCUUUUUAAGCGAAGGUAUCUUGUACAAGCGAAAUCAUGAUAUGGUUUUGCUCUGAUGCGUGGACGCUAAAAAAGCCGCGUGAAUGCUUGUAGAUAUGCAUGAAGGGUCCUUUGGGAUGCAUGCCAAUGGGCAUGCCAUGGCCAGAAAAAUUCUAAGGGUAGGCUAUUACUGGCUCACCAUGGAAAGCGACUGUUGCAUCCAUGUGAGAAAAUGCCACAAGUGCCAGCAUUCAGUGACAACGUCAACGCUCCGCCCAUGCCCUUGAAUGUUUUGGCGGCGCCAUGGCCCUUCUCUAUAUGGGGAAUAUAUGUAAUUGGAGUCGUCGAGCCCAGGGCUUCGAACGGACAUCGCUUCAUUGAGGUUGCAAUCGACUACUUCACCAAAUGGGCGGAAGCUGCUUCAUACUCCAUUGUGACGAGGAGUGUGGUGGCCAGGUUCAUCAAGAGAGAGAUAAUUUGCCGAUACGGGUUGCCCAGGAAGAUUAUCACAGAAAAUGCCACCAAUCUGAACAAAAAAAUGAUGAAAGAAAUGUGUGAGGAUUUCAAGAUUCAACACCAUAAUUCCACUCUUUAUAGGCCCAAGAUGAAUGGGGCGGUGGAGGAUGCCAAUAAGAACAGCAAGAAGAUAGUGCAGAAAAUGAUCGUGACAUACAAGGAUUGGCACGAGAUGCUCCCUUUCAUACUACAUGGCUACCGAACCUCGGUGCACACGUCAACCGGGGCAACGCCAUUUUCAUUGGUAUACGGCAUGGAAGCCAUACUACCGUUUGAAGUAGAGGUCCCCUCUUUGAGGAUUCUGGCAGAGUUCGGAUUGAAGCAUGCUUCGAUUAGCUCAAUCUCAUAGAAGGCAAGCGGUUGGCAGCUAUGAGCCAUAGGCGCUUGUAUCAGAGGCGGAUGAAGAAUGCUUUCGACAAGAAGGUACGUCCGCGCAAAUUCAACGUAAGGGAUCUCUUCUUGAAGAAAGUAUCUCAGGCCCUAAAGGACAAUAGGGGAAAGUGGGCUCCAAACUACCAGGGACCUUUCAUCAUAAAGAAAGCAUUCUCAGGAGGAGCACUGGUGCUUGCCAGCAUGGACGAUGAAGAGUUUCCUUCACCCGUGAACGCCGAUAUCGUCAAACGAUAUUGUGCUUAGCACUUGGGGGAGCUAGGAGAGUCAAUACAUGAUUGUACUCUGAGGCUCCCUAAAGUUUUCUAGAUCUCUGUAAACUUCGAUCGCAACAUCUAAUAAACAUCGAGUUGAUAGCUUGCAUUUCAAACCCUUGUGUUGUGUCUGUUAUUGCUUCAAAAUGCAUACUCUCGAUCUAUAGGGGUGCCACGAGCGUUUAAGUAAAAUUGAACAUAAUAAACAUUCGUUUAAAUUGUUGCACUUGAACUGCCUAAUCAUGAGCGUGCAUGCAUAUGCAUUUUUGUCAUCCCGUGAGUCGGAGGAUAAGUAGAGAUUUGGUCAAUACCACGCCAAAUUCAUAGCAAAAGUAAGUGGUAGCGUAGUCAUAUUUUACUGUGUAGUGCCAUUUCCUGUUUUCAAAGACUUAGGGGCAUAUACGAGCAGGUGCUAGGCCCGUGAUCAAUAGAUCAUCAUCCCGCGUCCGGUUCAAGACGUUAAAGAAGCGCUACUAGGAGGCAGCCUAGUAUCUUUUAAAAUUCAGCUUGUUAUUUAUUCGCCUAUGUUUCUUAAGUCAUAGUUUGAAUAUGCCUAGUUUGCUCAUAAUCCUAGGAAUUAAAAUAAACAAGCACAAGCUUGGAAGGUAGUCAAAUUUUGCAAAGAGGUUUUUGCAAAAAAAAAAAAUGCAAAGUUAGCUCGCCUGGGCGAGCACCCUCUGCACGAAAAUAUAAAAAAAGGGUCGGGGUGAAGCUUCAUUCACCCUAAAACUCCCCCCAACACUCAAGAACCAAGGGGCUCACGGAACGACAUGAUUUUGCAGCCCCCAAGCCACCAUUUUUGUGCUUUGCUUCCAUUUUUGGUAUCCUUGUUCACUCCAUACAAGUAAGUGCACCAUCUAUUUGCUCUUUGGCUCACCAUUGUUGCGUUUUGAUGCUUUAUUUGUUCAUUCUUGCUCAAAUUCAUGAGGCAUUUAUCUUUGAAUUUGUGCUUGUUUUUGUUGAGAUAGGGAGUUGUAGACAAUAGCCUUAGGCCAAGGUUGUGUUCUAAAAUGAUUGGGCAUGUCACAUUGCCCCCAUUCCCCACUUUUUCAUGCCUAAAGGUGCGCCCAUCAAGUGCUCGGUGAAAUGCCUCAAUGGCAUUGAGCACAAUUCUAAUUUUUUGUUUAUGGAAUUAACUUGGGCAUAGGUGGCUGUCGUUGUGGAGUUUAAGGACAGUUUUUAGUAGCUAGAAUAGGUGCUCGAAUGUGUGCUUAGGCCUAAAGACUCAAGCUUGGAUUUUUUAAUAUAAGAAAGCAUAAAGAUGAGAGCAUAUUAGGUGAAGCUCCCCUUUAGGCCAGCAUUUGGUAAGCGCUGCACCAUGAUGGUUUUCUUUGCGCCUAAAUGAUGUGGAACAUGUGUUGAACACUUGUUGUGUAUGUGUAUAUAGAAUAGGUAGCUAUGCGUGUUGCCAAUAUGCAUGUGUGUUCAAAAAUGACACCAAAAUGCCUCCUAAAAUGGUAGCAUAUGGCAUGAAAUGAUUUUGCAAAGUGUGAAUGAGUAGUGAAGAGUUUUUUUUUCUACCGUUCCCAUGAAUGUGUGAUGUGAAAUUUCUUCUCAAAUAAAAUUAAAUAUGUGUAUAGCAUGAAAUUGGCUUUCAAGUGUGCAUAUAUGUACGAAUAUAAUGUGAACGAAGUAGCAAAACAAUGCUACCCAACCUUGUUAAUUUAGGUAGCAAAAAUACCUUGUUAAUUUGUAUAUUAAUUCAGGUAGCAAAAUACUUUGUUAAUUUAGGUAGCAAAAAUACCUUGUUAAUUUGUAUGUAAUUUGGGUAGCAAAAAUACUUGAAUACGCAUGAAAUGUAAUUUGAGUAGCAAGUACUUGAAUACGCAUGAAAUGUAAUUUAGGUAGCAAAAGUACUUGAAUAUGCAUGAAAUGUAAUUUUGGUAGCAAAAUACCUUGAAUAUGCAUGUAUGCAUUUUUUUGGUAGCAAAGAUACCUUGGAUAUCCGUGUAUGUGAUUUUUUUAGGUAGCCAAAAUACCUUGAGUAUGUGUGUAUGUAAAUUUAGGGGAAAAAAUGCUUUGAAUAUGCAUAUGUGUGAAUAUAGGUAGCAAAAAUACGUUGAAUGUGCCUGUAUGUUGGUGUAGGUAGCAAAAUAUCUUACACACGUGUAUGUUCGUAAAUGUAUCUCCUCAAGGAAAUGUGCAUAUUUAAGUUUUCUCUAAAUUUGCAUUUGGUAUGUGGUUGGAAAGAGUUGUAUGCCAUUUUUGCUUGAUUUUGCUUUUAAAUGGCAUUCCCUUGUAAACUGACUUUCCAAUGUUUGCUUUCGCAGGAGAUGGCCCCAAGAAAACUUCCAACAAAGAGAUCCAGGAAGGACACCACCGGAGAAGGCUCCAGCGUAGCCCCACAAGCUGACAUGGACUUUGAUCGGCUCCGAUUCUGGAGCGCCGAACAUCAGCAACGCUUUGAGACCAUCAAGGGGUGGUCAUUCCUCAGAGAAAGACGGGUCCAGCUGAGGGAUGAUGAGUUCCCUGACUUUCAGGG